Molecule: non-coding RNA, 72 nt
Organism: Phrynosoma platyrhinos (Desert horned lizard)
Lineage: Eukaryota; Metazoa; Chordata; Lepidosauria; Squamata; Phrynosomatidae
Source: the annotation of a GenBank genome assembly
GCCAACAUGGUGUAGUGGUUUGAAUGUUGGACUGUGGCUCAAGAGACAAGGGUUUGAUUCUCUGCUCCGGCA